UACGUAGGGGGCAAGCGUUAAUCGGAAUUACUGGGCGUAAAGCGUGCGUAGGCGGUUAUGUAAGACCGGUGUGAAAUGCCCGGGCUUAACCUGGGAACUGCAUUUGGGACUGCAUGGCUAGAGUUUGGCAGAGGGGGGUAGAAUUCCACGUGUAGCAGUGAAAUGCGUAGAUAUGUGGAGGAACACCGAUGGCGAAGGCAGCCCCCUGGGUCAAGACUGACGCUCAUGCACGAAAGCGUGGGGAGCAAACAGG
RNAcentral lists this ribosomal RNA (253 nucleotides) under uncultured bacterium. RNAcentral describes it as "partial 16S ribosomal RNA". It matches the Rfam family "Bacterial small subunit ribosomal RNA", at positions 524 to 776 of the family's 1533-position model. The record is from RNAcentral.